RNAcentral lists this ribosomal RNA (700 nucleotides) under Rossellomorea vietnamensis. RNAcentral describes it as "bacterial SSU rRNA". It matches the Rfam family "Bacterial small subunit ribosomal RNA", at positions 181 to 861 of the family's 1533-position model. Lineage: Bacteria; Bacillati; Bacillota; Bacilli; Caryophanales; Bacillaceae. The record is from RNAcentral.
UUUCCUCGCAUGAGGAAAUGUUGAAAGAUGGCUUCUUGCUAUCACUUACAGAUGGACCCGCGGCGCAUUAGCUAGUUGGUGAGGUAACGGCUCACCAAGGCAACGAUGCGUAGCCGACCUGAGAGGGUGAUCGGCCACACUGGGACUGAAACACGGCCCAGACUCCUACGGGAGGCAGCAGUAGGGAAUCUUCCGCAAUGGACGAAAGUCUGACAGAGCAACGCCGCGUGAGUGAUGAAGGUUUUCGGAUCGUAAAGCUCUGUUGUUAGGGAAGAACAAGUGCCGUUCGAAUAGGGCGGCACCUUGACGGUACCUAACCAGAAAGCCACGGCUAACUACGUGCCAGCAGCCGCGGUAAUACGUAGGUGGCAAGCGUUGUCCGGAAUUAUUGGGCGUAAAGCGCGCGCAGGUGGUUUCUUAAGUCUGAUGUGAAAGCCCACGGCUCAACCGUGGAGGGUCAUUGGAAACUGGGGAACUUGAGUGCAGAAGAGGAAAGUGGAAUUCCAAGUGUAGCGGUGAAAUGCGUAGAUAUUUGGAGGAACACCAGUGGCGAAGGCGACUUUCUGGUCUGUAACUGACACUGAGGCGCGAAAGCGUGGAGGAGCAAACAGGAUUAGAUACCCUGUAGUCCACGCCGUAAACGAUGAGUGCUAAGUGUUAGGGGGGUUUCCCGCCCCCUUAGUGCUGCAGCUAACGCAUU